CACCCGGCCUGCGGCGGAAUGUUGCGUAAAGGGAAAGGUCGUAGUCAAACCCUUCAGCCACGCGAGCGCUAAGUCAGCCACGAAUAGGCUAUCCCAACUAACGGAGGGAAAGACUCCACGGAGGGUGCAAGACCCGUGUGGGCGCGUGCCAAUGCUGAAUGGGGUCGACCUGUUUUCCCUGAGAGUCGCGUUGCUUUGGCAUGCAGCGCUAAGCAGGUCGUAAACUCGAUCUAAGGCUAAAUACAUCCNCNGGACCGAUAGCGAACAAGUACCGUGAGGGAAAGUUGAAAAGCACUCUGAAGAGAGAGUCAAAAGACCGUGAAACCGCUCAGAGUAUAAGCCCAUGGCGCUUGGAAGGCAUUCCGCCGUGGUGUUCGGCGCACCCUCGGGUGCGCCUGCGGUCUAGUGGCGUGGUUCGUCAGGUAGGGUGGUUGGCCAACUGAGUUUGUCAUCCCGCCCGCCGACGUGCGGAGAGCAGCCGAGGUACUUGUGAGGAGCGUCCGAAUUCGUCCGGGGGCUCGUGCGCGCUCCCUGCUCUUCGUGCGCGGACGUUCAAGGCUUUCUAGACCAUGGCGGCAUUGCCCACCACGGCUCGUUGUGAGGUCACCCGCAGGCUCAAAAAUCUGCCGAUCGCGCUGUUCUCCUGCUCUCUGCGUUGCACCGCUGUGUGUCGAACACCCAGAGCCCCACUUGUGCUGGCGAAAACGCACCCUUCUCGGUGUCGACAGCGACGGGGGCUCGUGACACGUGCUGCAGCAGGCUCUCCAAUGAACCGGGCGGCAAAGAAAAGAGUUAAAAAAAUCCUGGUAUGAUCCUCCUGCGACGAGCCGCUUUNUGGCCUGAACGACACCGGGCCAAGCUCAUGUGCCGAGCGAGGUUCCACUUCCAGGCGGUCUGGCCCUCUGAUCGAUUCCUCUUCGUUGAGGGGACGAUCACGGUCCUCCCAGCCGGUGUCGAUCUGCGUGGUGUUAAGUCCAGGACCAUCGGUCACGUCUCGAAACACGGGCCAAGGAGUAUAGCAUGUGUGCAAGUCUAAGGGUCUCACAAAACCCGAAGGCGAAAUGAAAGCAAGGCUGUGGCGGGUGCGCCUCGGCAAACCCGUCUGCCGGUGUCGGUUGGUCGUCCCGCGCUGGUGCUUCUGUGCCUCGUGGGCGGCGCCGCCUGGCAAAUGACAGAGCUGAUCCUGCUGUGACGGAUAAGUCCUGAGGCAGGCGCAAGCUCCGGGCUCGCUCACAAAUAACACUGGUCGUCGUCGUCGUCGUCGUCGCUUGCGGCGGCGGAGGCGGCGGCGGCUGUGUUGCGAGCNCCGUGUAGCAUGCAUGCUAUGACCCGAAAGAUAGUGAACUAUGCCUGGCGAGGGCGAAGCCCCAGGAAACUGGGGUGGAGGCCCGUAGC
RNAcentral lists this ribosomal RNA (1395 nucleotides) under Crymostygius thingvallensis. Its description in RNAcentral is "eukaryotic LSU rRNA". It matches the Rfam family "Eukaryotic large subunit ribosomal RNA", at positions 125 to 881 of the family's 3401-position model. Lineage: Eukaryota; Metazoa; Arthropoda; Malacostraca; Amphipoda; Crymostygidae. The record is from RNAcentral.